GUUAUCUUCUUCUUUUUAUACUCUUCAUUCUUCCCUUUUAUUCUCUCUUUGUUUUAUUCUUUUUUUAUAAUGAAAUAAAUAUAACUCCUAAAGAAAUUUAUUUCACUUUAACCUAAUUUUUCAAGUUGGGUUUCUAAGAAUUCAUUCAAUCAUCAUAUAUUUUGUAGAUGACUUAAGGGAUUGAAAGUUCUACUAGUGCACAUAAAUUAUUUUGGAGUUAACAUAUUGUGAGGUAUUGCUAAUGGAAUUUGAUGGACAUUUGUAUCAGCUUUCGGUUCGUUUGGAUACUUGGAUUUUCUACAUACAUAUUUGUAUGUGUUUGAUUUACGGGUUCUUUCCACUUUCAAUUUUUUUCGUCGAAGUUUAUGCAUAUGUUUAAUUUUAUAAUCGAAUUUCCCCAUGUAUCUUCAAGCUAAGCAAGUAAAGAAGAAGCCUGGAUAUAUGUGGAACAUUUCAAAUUUCGAGAUUCAAAUAAGUUUAUCAUCAACUUCGUGGUACUUAAUUUACGUCUUCGUGGAAGAGAAAACUAAAUCCUAAUUCAGAACAUUAUAUCUGCCUAUUAUAAACAUGUUACUGUAUCACGACACUAUUAAUUAUUAAAAUGAGAGCUUGCAAAACUGAUUUAGACCAAAGAGAGCUACUUCAUUUUUAUUUGUUUUAGCGACCUGGUGCAAAUUAGAACAAUAUUGAGCAUUAUAACAUUUUUUAUUUUAUUUUAUAUUAUACCUUUUUAGAAGUGGGAGUUGUGCUAGGACGAACACAGCAAAUUGUACGGUAACCAAAGACAUUUCAAAUUGUAUUGUGAGGCCUCAUAAUUUUUGGCCCUUUGUGGCCCAAUUUGAUUGGGUAUUAACACUUGGAGGCUCUUUUAUUCCACGUGUGAGCAAUUGAUAUUGCUUCAGGCUGAUAUCAGGAAAUUAGAGCUCUCAAUUAUCUUGCCUCUUUCAAGAAAAUAUUUAUGAUUUUGGUAUUCUUAUCCCUUCCCCUGAUUUCGUCUCUGUUGGAGAAAGUUACUAGCAAUGAAAAAAGCUUUUAAAGUACCCUAACCACAAACAUUUUGUUCAACACGACAUCUACGGAUAUGAUUACCAUGACGGCAUGACCAUACAACUGAUUUGCAGCGUCUUUGGACCAUGGUACUUUGUAUAACCAAGAGCAAAUAAGAGAUAUAGAUGAUUACGAGACACUGAAGAGAGUUAAAUGUUUGCCUUCCAGAUGAUGCAUGAUACUGAUAGUAGAUUGAGUUUUGUUAUAUCUUUCCUUUCAGCAAGUACCUCCAGUCCUCUAUCUGUUCAUCAGAGGAAUGAAAUAUAGGCAUUGAUUGUAAAUGAAAUAAAGUUGUGUUUUAUUUUUGUUCCAAGUUAUAUGUGUGCCGAAAUUGUAAGAGUUUCAUAUGAAAUAUUUGAAUUUCCACUUAUUUUGGAGAUAAUGAUGAUAUCAAGAAGCUUGAGGUGGAAAGGGUAUUGUCAUUAGUUAUUAGUUUUUGCUUGAUUUUGAUUUUUUGUGUGUUUGGGUUACUGGAAUCUUUGCUUAUCAGCAAACUCAAAGGUUAUCUCUUUUUCUAUAUUAUGGGGUUUAAUUUUUUGCUCCAACUUUUCAUACAUAUGCUACUCAUUUAGACCUGAUUCAUACUAGAUAUAUUCAAUUCGCCUAAAAGCUCUAGCCCUAUUUGUAGUAUUAUAUAACAAUGUUGAAGAAAGUUUUGGAACAGAUUGGAGUUGCCCUGCCUAACUUCAUGGCUCAAAGGAAACAAAAAGGAAAAUGAAGGAGAAACCAGAGCUGAAGGUCUAUGUAAUUUCAUGACGACUCUAAAUUACCUUUAAGAUCAGAUUUCUUUCUUUCUAGAUGUAUCAGAAAAGAUGCUCACUUGAUUUAUCACAUUAGACUUGUAAACAUUGAUACUAUAAAAAAGACCUAUUUUUAUUUUCUCUG
RNA transcript from Solanum tuberosum (potato), 1932 nucleotides. RefSeq lists it as uncharacterized. Lineage: Eukaryota; Viridiplantae; Streptophyta; Magnoliopsida; Solanales; Solanaceae. The transcript is spliced from 5 exons. The record is from RefSeq and is a predicted model, not a curated record.